Molecule: non-coding RNA, 85 nt
Organism: Mycena polygramma
Lineage: Eukaryota; Fungi; Basidiomycota; Agaricomycetes; Agaricales; Mycenaceae
Source: the annotation of a GenBank genome assembly
GCCCACUUGGCUAAGUGGUUUACAGCGCGGCACUUGUACAUACACUGCAAUGCCGAGAUCACUCGUUCAACUCGGGUAGUGGGCA